CAGUGCCCAGGCCUUGAUCCAUGCAAAGGGCAAAGCCGCCCGACUCUAACGCAGAGCUGUGAGCCUGAAGGGCCGCGCUGGACAUGGCCAGAGAAAGACUUUUCUUUUUCCAACUUCGGCGUUUGGUUUUGUGUGUCCACCACGCGCAGCUCCGGAGCUGGCAGACCCCAAAUGGAUUCUCAACAGGUGGCCAAACUCAGGAGGUCGCACAUAUUCGAUAUCAGGCUUGAGCUGAGUCACCUGACUGUACACAGAACAUAUAUGCAGCUGUACCCGAAUACGUACCCGAGAAUUAGAGGAACACUAACAGCAGGAUCGGAAGAAAAAAAGAAGUGUUCGCAGACAGAAUUAUUCCAAUGCACGGGUGCACAUCAAGUUGUCCAGAUGCAGACAAAAGCUGUGGUGCCCACAAGGAAUGACCCCAGCCACAGGCAGAUGUGCAGGAAGCCACACACAGGGAGAGCCUGAAGGAGGAUGCAGGACUCGGGGCCAAGGGCUUCCUGCUAGAGGGACGUUGGCUUCCAAGGGUGAAACUGUUGAGCCAACCAGUUAAAGGUUUCAGGUCAAGUCCUGGAGACUAGAAAGAGCACAACGUCCAUCCACCGCUGAUCCUUUUGCCUUCCACUAAGCUGGGCUUUAGACACUCAGAAGAGGGCAACCCAGGAAAGAAUCAUUUUGAUUCGGGUUAUUUAUUUGUUACUAUUGUUGGUUAAGGAGAUUGUGUUCUGAAGAAGGAUGGGUGGGGAGCAUAGAUGGAUGCCCUAACUCAAUGCUGGGAGAUUCCUAAUUCUUAAUGGGAACAUUCGGCUCCAACGAGGGUUCAAGAAGCCAGGGGCCCUUAUUUUGCCUCUUUCUUGCCUUUCAUUGCUAAAUGCAGUCCUUAAAAAGAACCUUCGCCUAGCUCCACGCCCUCCUGUCCUCACUUCCAUCCCAAUCCCCUUUAUAUCAAAUAUGUCCACAAAAGAACACUCCCAAGCAAACUGAACUAUUUUAUUACACUAAUUUUCUUUGUGGGAUAUUGGGGUAUUCUCACCCCCUCCUACCCAUUUCCAAACAGAAGCCACCAUCCUGAGAGUUUCAAAGAGUGGCUGUUCCAAAAGGCCUUAGCAAGUGCACAGGCUUGAUGCUGCCUUCAGCUCCUUUUGCCUUCCAGACAGUAGCCACCACGAGUUUCCCCGCAGAAGAGGCAGGCACCCUGGAUGCAAAGUCGCCCUUCUUUCCACUUCACCUCCCCCACCCCAGCUCUCUCUCUGAAAGUCGAGGGUGCAUUUGGGAAGAUUCUUUUAGACAAAAAGAGGGGGAGGGAAGAGGACUCUCUGGGCUAGCAAGUGGAUGACUCCCCUCCAAGGGGCUGAGGAAGAUUUUUCUUGUGAAGAAGAGAUGAACCACUCCCUAAACAGGACAGGGGGACACUUUGAAGCAGAUCCAGUUGUCCAAGAAAUGUAGGGUGAGGAGUGGGAAGUAUGAGGAAUUUCUUCCCUUUUGGAGGCUAACAUGUGUGUCUCCCCCACCCCCAAUCCUGGAAAUUUUAGCAAGAGAUGUUCUGGUAGAUGUUUCAAACAAUAAAGACUGAAAAUCACCUGAGAGUCAAUUAAUGUUCCUUGGAAGGGCAGUUUCUUCCGGGACCUUUUUCUUCCCCCAGGUCUGUUUUUCCUUUUUCCCUAAUAAGAGUCCACCUGCUGUCACACCUCUGAAAGAGAGACAAAGACAGAAAUAAGGAGACCGGUACUCACAAACCUGAAGUGUAACUUCCAUUCCCAGUAGCUGAGAUUCUAGGAUGCAAGGAAGACAACUCCUUUCCUUUGGGGCAUUUCUUUUUCCCCUCUUUUGAUAGCUUAUUUAGAGCCUUUCCAAUAAUAAAAAAUAAUCAGCAUUUUAGAGUCGGCGACUUCGGCUCU
Molecule: long non-coding RNA, 1898 nt
Filed under: Sus scrofa (pig)
Lineage: Eukaryota; Metazoa; Chordata; Mammalia; Artiodactyla; Suidae
Description: lncRNA (ENSSSCG00000041282.2)
Source: RNAcentral